ACUCAAAUGAAUUGACGGGGGCCCGCACAAGUGGUGGAGCAUGUGGUUUAAUUCGAUGAUACGCGAGGAACCUUACCGAGGCUAGAAUGCGCGUGACCGGUCCAGAGAUGGACCUUUCCUUCGGGACACAAAGCAAGGUGCUGCAUGGCCGUCGUCAGCUCGUGCCGUGAGGUGUUGGGUUAAGUCCCGCAACGAGCGCAACCCCUAUGUUUAGUUGCCAGCACAUUAUGGUGGGGACUCUAGACAGACUGCCUGUGCAAACAGCGAGGAAGGCGGGGACGACGUCAGGUCAUCAUGGCCCUUACGCCUCGGGCUACACACGUGCUACAAUGGACGGUACAGAGGGUCGCCACGCAGCGAUGCGGAGCCAAUCUCAAAAAGCCGUUCUCAGUUCGGAUCGGAGUCUGCAACUCGACUCCGUGAAGCUGGAAUCACUAGUAAUCGCGUAUCAGCAACGACGCGGUGAAUACGUUCCCGGGCCUUGUACACACCGCCCGU
RNAcentral lists this ribosomal RNA (498 nucleotides) under uncultured bacterium. Its description in RNAcentral is "partial 16S ribosomal RNA". It matches the Rfam family "Bacterial small subunit ribosomal RNA", at positions 899 to 1397 of the family's 1533-position model. The record is from RNAcentral.